This 253-nucleotide ribosomal RNA is filed under the name uncultured bacterium. Its description in RNAcentral is "partial 16S ribosomal RNA". It matches the Rfam family "Bacterial small subunit ribosomal RNA", at positions 524 to 776 of the family's 1533-position model. The record is from RNAcentral.
UACGUAGGUGACAAGCGUUGUCCGGAUUUACUGGGCGUAAAGAGCGCGCAGGCGGUCGUUUAAGUCGAGUGUGAAAGCCCCCGGCUCAACUGGGGAGGGUCAUUCGAUACUGAUCGACUCGAAGGCAGGAGAGGGUAGUGGAAUUCCCGGUGUAGUGGUGAAAUGCGUAGAUAUCGGGAGGAACACCAGUGGCGAAGGCGACUACCUGGCCUGUUCUUGACGCUGAGGCGCGAAAGCUAGGGGAGCAAACGGG